Molecule: long non-coding RNA, 935 nt
Organism: Peromyscus leucopus (white-footed mouse)
Lineage: Eukaryota; Metazoa; Chordata; Mammalia; Rodentia; Cricetidae
Exons: 3
Source: RefSeq, a predicted model, not a curated record
UUUUUGCUUUUCUUCAGAGGUUCUAUAAAUUAAAUUCUAUUUUCAUUUCUUGACUUAUUUUCAUAAUUUAAUUCAACUGUGUUUUGUGGUAUUUGUUUUGGCAUUUAUUUAUAUCCUUUUAGAAUUCUUUAUUUUCAGUAUUGCUAUUUUUGAAUUCAUUGUCUUAUACAUCACCUGAAUUGUUUUUCUUAGGGAACAUUACUCUGGACAUACUAACUCUUCAUGGAGACUUAGUACUUUGGUUAUUCAUGUUUGCCCAUUAGUAAUGGAAACUAAGCAUCUGCAGUCGGAUGGCCAAACCUGAAGAGCAACCCAAACCUCUGUGUACUCAGAAGUAAUGGUAAACUGAGCCGUCUAAUGCCUGUGACAAGCCACCGUCAGCAACACUCGAGAUACUCCAUACCUAGUGGAAAUCAAGACCAUCAUCUUCACCUGAGUUGACAUCCACCCAAAUUGACGUCCAUUCAGGCCAUUCAGCCAGCUGUGAGGAGCAGUGUCCACUGAGGAUUGCCACCCUCCCUUACACCAUGCCACCAAAACCCCUUAUGCUUCCCUGACGGACCCCUUCCUGUGUUCACGUUUACAGUCUUUUGUUUCCCUCUAGAUCCCACAGAUGAACAUUAGGGACUUGUCUUUCUGAGUGUGGCCCCAGUUUCAUCCAUCUCCCUAUGGCAGUUGUUAAUUCUAAGUAGAUUAUAUAUUUGUUGUAUUUUAUAAAGACUGAGUUAAUACUAGGUUCCUGAUUUCCUCAUCUUGGUUUGUUUAGCUGUUGGAAUGUCCAGUAGCCAAAUGAUUCGGCUUCUUUUGUUGCAUGCUUCAGACCAGAAGAAGAGCAUAUAUUUAUUUGAGAAACAAAGGUACCUGUGGCACUAGACACUUGUGUUAGGCAAGAUUUUCUAGAAAAACAGAGGCAAUAAAAUAUAUAUUAUAAAGGA